Molecule: ribosomal RNA, 434 nt
Filed under: uncultured Lachnospiraceae bacterium
Lineage: Bacteria; Bacillati; Bacillota; Clostridia; Lachnospirales; Lachnospiraceae
Description: partial 16S ribosomal RNA
Rfam family: Bacterial small subunit ribosomal RNA
Source: RNAcentral
ACGGAAGGCAGCAGUGGGGAAUAUUGCACAAUGGGCGAAAGCCUGAUGCAGCGACGCCGCGUGAGUGAAGAAGUGUCUCGGUAUGUAAAGCUCUAUCAGCAGGGAAGAAAAUGACGGUACCUGACUAAGAAGCCCCGGCUAACUACGUGCCAGCAGCCGCGGUAAUACGUAGGGGGCAAGCGUUAUCCGGAUUUACUGGGUGUAAAGGGAGCGUAGACGGUUUGGCAAGUCUGAAGUGAAAUGCGGGGGCUCAACUCCUGAACUGCUUUGGAAACUGUCGAACUAGAGUGCAGGAGAGGUAAGUGGAAUUCCUAGUGUAGCGGUGAAAUGCGUAGAUAUUAGGAGGAACACCAGUGGCGAAGGCGGCUUACUGGACUGUAACUGACGUUGAGGCUCGAAAGCGUGGGGAGCAAACAGGAUUAGAUACCCUGGUA